This 303-nucleotide long non-coding RNA is filed under the name Brassica napus (rape). Its description in RNAcentral is "long non-coding RNA (BNAP_LNC010241)". The record is from RNAcentral. Lineage: Eukaryota; Viridiplantae; Streptophyta; Magnoliopsida; Brassicales; Brassicaceae.
UGCAUUACACCACAUCCGUGACCGUGACACAAACACCCAACAAACAUACUGUAAUGACAACUUAUACUUGUCAUUACACCACAACCGUGAAGCAGAAGCUGUCAUCACAUCUGCUUCAAUAGUGCAUUACACCACAUCUGCUUCAAUAGUACACACUGUGACCUGCAAUAACAAACAACAACAUUAAUUAUCUACAGCAUGAGAAGAACAACAAAGAACACACAAGCAAACAACUUAAUUAAACAGAAGCAGAGAAACAGAAACAACAAAGAACACACAAGCAAACAACUUAAUUAAAACAGA